Phascolarctos cinereus (koala) is the source of this 1593-nucleotide non-coding RNA. The record is from RefSeq and is a predicted model, not a curated record. NCBI's taxonomy places the organism in Eukaryota, Metazoa, Chordata, Mammalia, Diprotodontia, Phascolarctidae.
UUAUGUAAGGAAGUUUCAAGUCCGGACUGAUAAUAAUUCACUGACUUGUGUUUUGAGCAGUCUUACUUGCAUUUUGUCCCUGUCCUUAGACUGUGAGCUCUUUGAGAGCAGGGGCUGUCUUUUGCCUUUCUUUGUAUCCCCAAUCCACAGUGCCAAGCAAUAGAAGGCUCUUAUUAAAUGCUAUUUAACUGACUGGUAAAGAAGAUAACGGCAAUCUCUCCACACCUGGCCAAGUCUUCAAUUAUAUUCUACUCCUCUACUAGUUCUGAACAAGCCACAAGGAGCAAUCCAAGUCAGUGCAGUCUAUAGGUGUCAUACCAGAAGACUAUUGGAGAGGUAGAAAGAGGCAGAAUCCAUAAUUCUUUUGGCAACCCAUGAAGAGGAACAACAUGUAAUAGCUUGAGUCAUCCAAAAUCAUGAGUUUCCUUGAUUAGGCAUAGUUUUUCCUAGAAGCCAUGAGUAGAACAGAUUUGAUGGACAUUUUCUCACUUCUAAUUGGAAGUGACUGGAGGAUGAUUGAGGCACUUAAACUAUGUCUUAUCUUCUAGGUUUGGAGAUGAUUUACAUAAGGAUCAAGGACUGUCUGCACCUGGGAGGAGCUGCACAGAUAACAUCAAGGGGAAGAAAUUAGAGAUUCUGACCCUGUGAGUUUCAAAAGGUCAUGAGGGCCCAUCUCUGCCAUCCUGGCAUCCUGGCAUGUCCUGAAGACCUGGAAUUGGGGCCUCAUAGAUAACUCAUCAUUGAUGCCCCAAGAAACAAGAAGUGCUUUUUGGAACCCAGUACUGUCAUCAUGGCAACAAGCAUGAAACUGGGACUAGAUUUCUGGUAACAACUGAUAAUCAUUCAAGAUCAUUCAGCCCCAAUAAGGGCCAAAGUUUGAACUAAUCAACCAGAAGAAUUAUACUGGCCUAACAAACAUGCUUUUCUUUGUUCUCUGAGUAAACUUAAAAAGCCCUUUCCUGUGUAAACAACACAAGGCCAGAUGAAGCUGACCAAGAACAUUUUUCUGUUUAAGGCCACUAAGGCUGGAUGCCUAGGACCAGACAUUGUCUUGAAUAAUGGGAUUUUUCUUAGCUUAAUAUUUUAUGGACAUAUACUAUGUUAUAUUAUGUUAGUGAUAGAAGAAACACAGAUGUCCUAGAUUGUAAUUUCAACUGAUACUUUGUCAAUUCUCUUAACCUGUUGUAUUUACAAGCUAUUCAACUAAGAAAAUUCCUUUCUCGUGCUAUGGUUAACCAUAUAUCAAGACCAUAAAUUUGAGUGACAUAGACAUCCUGAAUUGGAAUUGCUCUAAGAAUAUAAAUUGCUGAAGUAAGAAUUAAAGCUUGACUCCAUGUACAUGUAUAUGUUCACUAGCUUAAGGGAAUAAACAAUAUAAUUAUAUAUCACCUAGAUUGUUGCCUCUUUAACCAAGCUUCCAGGUUGACAUAACUCUAAUCACCACCCCACCUUCACCUGCUCCUGCUUUUCCUUCCAUGACUGCUUUGUUUCUCUGGCAACACUGCUACCACUUUUUCUAAUGGCUAUGACAUAUUUUUUGUUGAUAGAAUUGCCUUUAAUAUUCAUCUUCACUAGAGUUCACUUAUAUGGAAA